UUGCCUCAUCUUUAGACACCUUAACAGCAACACAAUCUCUCAUAAAUGGCCAAACUCUCAUCUCCACAAGCCAGGGCUUUGAGCUUGGAUUCUUCACUCCUGGCAAUUCAAGAAACUGGUAUGUGGGGAUAUGGUACAAGAACAUACCAAGAACUUAUGUGUGGGUUGCUAACAGAGACAAACCUCUUUCAAACUCCUCUGGAACCUUCAAAAUCUUCAAUCAAAGCAUUGCUCUAUUUGAUCUAGCUGGGAAAGUCGUAUGGUCAUCCAACCAAACCAAUGCGAGAAACCCAGUUAUGCAGUUGCUAGAUUCAGGAAACCUUGUAUUGAAAGAGCAAGUAAGUGAAAGUGGUCAGUUUUUGUGGCAAAGCUUUGACUAUCCAACUGAUACUUUAUUACCUGACAUGAAGUUAGGCUGGGAUCUCAACACGGGUCUAGACAGGUACUUGAGUUCAUGGAAAAGCAGUGAGGAUCCUGGUACAGGUGAUUUCUCUUUCAAGCUAGAGUAUCAUGGAUUCCCUGAAGUAUUCUUGUGGAAAGAUAAUGAAAUUGAGUAUAGAAGUGGGCCAUGGAAUGGACAAAGAUUUAGUGGUGUACCAGAGAUGAAGCCUGUUGAUUACCUGAGUUUCAAUUUUAUCACUGAGCAAGAUGAGGUAUAUUACUCGUUUCACAUAGCAACCAAGAAUUUAUAUUCAAGAUUGACAGUUACUUCAUCUGGGCUGCUCCAACGAUUUGCAUGGAUUCCAGAG
This 749-nucleotide long non-coding RNA is filed under the name Populus trichocarpa (black cottonwood). RNAcentral's name for it is "long non-coding RNA (PTRI_LNC001119)". Lineage: Eukaryota; Viridiplantae; Streptophyta; Magnoliopsida; Malpighiales; Salicaceae. The record is from RNAcentral.